This is a non-coding RNA of Phasianus colchicus (ring-necked pheasant), 1856 nucleotides long. NCBI's taxonomy places the organism in Eukaryota, Metazoa, Chordata, Aves, Galliformes, Phasianidae. The record is from RefSeq and is a predicted model, not a curated record.
CAACAACUCUAAUAUAAAGGGAGCUUCCAGCAGCCCUUUCCCCUUCAGCUCAAAGAGAGUCCUUAAGAACAUACGUCCCAUUAAUAGGAAGGAUAAAUAAGAAGCAAUUUAGGAGCAAAAAAAAGGCAAUUGUAUUUGUGCACAUAAAGGUGAGUAUUUGUUGUACAUUUUUAGAUUUCCUCCCUUCUUCUGACGGAAUUUUUGUUUUUGUUGGUCUUGAAACUGUCUUUGUCAUCCUUUCUUACUAUUUUCUUCUUCGCUCAGAUUUUCAUUUUCUUUGAAAAGUAAUAUUCCAUUUUUCUCCCCCUCCCCCUCUCCCUCCCACUUGCACUAUGGCUUUCUACAAUUUUCCUUUUCAAUCUUCUCCUCAUACAUUCUCUACCCACUCCCUCCUGCCUCUCCCACUUUCACCACACCUCGAGCGUCUCCAGCACAGCUCCAGCUCUCACAAAACAACAGCAAUCAUAUAACAAUUUACAACCAUUAGCCAAUUGAGUGUAACACCUCUCCACAAGGUAGGUAAUCAUUUACGAACACUGCUAAGCUACUGCUGUUUGGUGUGACAGAUUGUUCAGCUGCUUCUGCUCUCUCCAAGGGCCCCAGACAACAAUAGUAAGGCUGUGAAAGCACAGGGUUGGGAUGAACAGCUAGAGCAGUGUGUGAGGAACUACAGACAUCUGCUGAGCUCUGAACUGUCUUUUUACUCCUGGUUUAGUGAGCAUUAAAUGUGUUCUGUGCCUCUAUUGUCAAACUGGCUGCAUCUUGAGGGGAAAAAAAGGAGAAAAAGCAGACGAAAUGUCUGUGGCCCACUUAGAGCUCAUCAUGAAACACUUCAUAAAACAGCACGCAGCAACUGGUCUGUCUUCUUCGCCCUGCGACCACAACGCUGUAAUCAUGUAAGCUAGGCUGUGCUUAAGCAGGGAGAGGCCACUGUGUCUGCUGAAGGCAGGCAGUGAGGACACGAAGGGCACGAUGCUACGUGGGGGCUGCCAACCUGAAAUGCUGUGUGGCAUUUUUCCUAACGGUAGGUUUAUGGUCUUUAACCUAAAUUAAUUAAGACACGGAACAUUAAUGAAGGAGCAGGUUGCUUCUGAAACAACUAACCCACUUCAAAGUGCUGAAACCAUAUCCUUAAUGGGGAACAAAGAAGUGAAAACAGAGUCAAAACAGACCAUGUCUGCGUGUUGUUCUCAACCCAUUCAUCUCCCACACGGGCUGAGCUGUGGUGGCAUUUUUAAAAUGGCAGUGUAACAUCUGCCAUCCAAAAGGGGAAUUGGGGUGUGUGGGAGGAACACGGUUUAUUCAAGAGCCACUGCUCUCCUUUUGAAGGAGAAGAUGAGCCAGAUGUACUUUUUUCUUCCCCCCUCAAGUCCUGGUCAUGUUCCCACUGACUCCAGUUGAUGCAGGAUAUCCCCCUUUACUCUCUUUUUUCUUUCUUUCACCACAACCCCAGUUAACUACUCUGUUCCUGUCAGUUCUAGUUGCCAUGUGAAUGAUGUAUUUGAUACUGUUUAUUAUGUAAGAUUCUGAACAGAUCAUUCCUGCUUCUGGCACGCAGGGGGAAGACAUACAAGCCAGAGGGCUGCAAAGCACACGGACUCACUGUGGAGCAGAGCUUCCAGAUGUGCCAUCCCUGCAGGUAUUUGUGAAUCGUGCUCCACGUCCAUCUGAACCUUUAGGCACAUAUUGUAUUUUUUGUCUGCAGUCAUGAGCCUGAAUCAAAGAGGCCCACAAAACAAAACAAAACAAAAACACAUAUUCUGAAAGGAGCCUACAGCGUGGAGGUUUUAACGGAAGAAGCUACUGCCAACCUUACUGAGCUGUAGUUGCAGUAGAAAGGGAACGCGAGAAACAGG